GUGGUUAGGCUUGUCAGUGGCUGCCCCUUUAUAGGUGUCGGAUCAUUUUACUCAGUUUACCGGUAGCGGUGGUACCACAAAGGUGCACCGCUCUAUUCUUCAGGUUAUUUGGUUUGUUGUAGUUUGAGAAAUAUGGAAGGAAAGAAACAAUAGGUUGUUUAAUGUCAAAGAUUGCUCGGUUAUCUAGGUGGUCGAUAAGAUUAAGUCGCUUGCUUUUACGUGGUUGAAGACGAAGUAUAUUUCUCUUCCCUUCAAUUACCAUGGGUGAUGGCUUAGCAACUAUUGUAUAUAUUGUUCUUGACUCUGAUGUCCUUUCCUGAGUACGUCUUGUGCUCGAAAAGACUCUUUUGAGGUAGUAUUAUAAUUCAUUUUAGCUUCUUAAAAAAAAAGUAA
RNAcentral lists this long non-coding RNA (393 nucleotides) under Medicago truncatula (barrel medic). Its description in RNAcentral is "lncRNA gene13624". The record is from RNAcentral. Lineage: Eukaryota; Viridiplantae; Streptophyta; Magnoliopsida; Fabales; Fabaceae.